Long non-coding RNA from Octopus sinensis (East Asian common octopus), 184 nucleotides. RefSeq lists it as uncharacterized. The transcript is spliced from 3 exons. The record is from RefSeq and is a predicted model, not a curated record. NCBI's taxonomy places the organism in Eukaryota, Metazoa, Mollusca, Cephalopoda, Octopoda, Octopodidae.
CAACAAGAGGUAAAAAUGGAAAACAGGACACGUAAACGGGGAACGACCCUUCAUCAGUUGUCGGCUGUCUAUCUACUCCUCAUUUCGAGCAUUCAUCGACAAUAUGAGUCUUCAAAAACAGUUCCUCCCAUAAAUUCCAAAAACAAAUUUUGGAUUUAUGGAGGGUCAGUGUUGGGAACAAAAA